UAUCAUCAAAGUUGUACGUGUCAUUUUACCUUCAAUGAAAAACAUGUGUCGCUUCUUAUUCAAAGCUCUCUGCAAUCUCUUUCUACUUCACCGAUGAAGUAUCAGUACAGAAACACAUCAAAACCCAAGAUGGAGACACUUACCUGAAGUCCAUUGAUGGAGUCGAGGCGUUUGAUUCAAGUGGCCAACGAUAGUAUUCAUCACAACCAGUCAAUGGAAGACGGGUAUUAUUUCUUUUACUAAAAGCUGCUACUGCUGCUUGGAACAAUCCUAUGAUCAAGUUUUCGGUUUCUUUAGCUUUCA
Solanum lycopersicum (tomato) is the source of this 303-nucleotide long non-coding RNA. RefSeq lists it as uncharacterized. Lineage: Eukaryota; Viridiplantae; Streptophyta; Magnoliopsida; Solanales; Solanaceae. The record is from RefSeq and is a predicted model, not a curated record.